GGAGAGGUGGGUGAGUUUGGCUGAAACCAACGGUUUGCUAAACCGUCGUAGGGUAACACCUACCGCGGGUUCAAAUCCCGCCCUCUCCGCCA
RNAcentral lists this transfer RNA (92 nucleotides) under Nitrospirales bacterium. RNAcentral describes it as "tRNA-Ser". It matches the Rfam family "tRNA". Rfam says of the family: Transfer RNA (tRNA) molecules are approximately 80 nucleotides in length. Lineage: Bacteria; Pseudomonadati; Nitrospirota; Nitrospiria; Nitrospirales. The record is from RNAcentral.